Molecule: ribosomal RNA, 220 nt
Filed under: Strumigenys metopia
Lineage: Eukaryota; Metazoa; Arthropoda; Insecta; Hymenoptera; Formicidae
Also listed under: 1 other name
Description: partial large subunit ribosomal RNA
Source: RNAcentral
GAAUUUAAUAUAAUUAUUUAUAAGAAUAUUUUUAUAGUUGAAAUAAAUGAUUAUUAUUUGAUUGGGAGGAUAAAUAAAUUUAAUUAACUUUAAUAAUGAGUUAAGUUAUAGAUUAAUAAGUAAAAUUUUUUUGAAUGAUUUUAAAAUUAAAUUAGAAUUAAUUACCUUAGGGAUAACAGCGUAAUAUUUUUAUAAAGAUCUUAUUAAUAAAAAUGUUUGC